RNAcentral lists this ribosomal RNA (492 nucleotides) under uncultured bacterium. RNAcentral's name for it is "partial 16S ribosomal RNA". It matches the Rfam family "Bacterial small subunit ribosomal RNA", at positions 30 to 507 of the family's 1533-position model. The record is from RNAcentral.
AUUGAACGCUGGCGGCAUGCUUUGCACAUGCAAGUCGAACGGUAACAGGCCUUCGGGUGCUGACGAGUGGCGAACGGGUGAGUAAUGCAUCGGAACGUGCCCAGAGGUGGGGGAUAACGCAGCGAAAGCUGUGCUAAUACCGCAUGUGAUCUGAGGAUGAAAGCGGGGGACCAGGCAGCAAUGUUUGGCCUCGCGCCUUUGGAGCGGCCGAUGUCAGAUUACGUAGUUGGUGGGGUAAAGGCCUACCAAGCCGACGAUCUGUAGCUGGUCUGAGAGGACGACCAGCCACACUGGGACUGAGACACGGCCCAGACUCCUACGGGAGGCAGCAGUGGGGAAUUUUGGACAAUGGGCGCAAGCCUGAUCCAGCAAUGCCGCGUGCGGGAAGAAGGCCUUCGGGUUGUAAACCGCUUUUGUACGGAACGAAAAGGCUCUGGCUAAUACCUGGGGCUGAUGACGGUACCGUAAGAAUAAGCACCGGCUAACUACGUG